AUACGGAGGAUCCGAGAGUUAUCCGGAUUUAUUGGGUUUAAAGGGAGCGUAGGUGGAUAGUUAAGUCAGUUGUGAAAGUUUGCGGCUCAACCGUAAAAUUGCAGUUGAUACUGGCUGUCUUGAGUACAGUAGAGGUGGGCGGAAUUCGUGGCGUAGCGGUGAAAUGCUUAGAUAUCCAGAAGAACUCCUGUUGCGAAGGCAUCUCACUGGACUUCAACUGACACUGAUGCUCGAAAGUGUGUGUAUCAAACAGGAUUAGAUACCGUGGUAGUCCACACAGUAAACGAAGAAUACUCGCUGUUUGCUAUAUACAGUAAGCGGCCAAGCGAAAGCAUUAAGUAUUCCACCUGGGGAGUACGCCGGCGACGGUGAAACUCAAAUGAAUUGACGGGG
Molecule: ribosomal RNA, 393 nt
Filed under: uncultured bacterium
Lineage: Bacteria
Description: partial 16S ribosomal RNA
Rfam family: Bacterial small subunit ribosomal RNA
Source: RNAcentral